GGAGGAGUGGCCGAGUGGUUUAAGGCGGCGGUCUUGAAAACCGUUGAGCUGCAAGGCUCCGGGGGUUCGAAUCCCUCCUCCUCCGCCA
Molecule: transfer RNA, 88 nt
Filed under: Holophagales bacterium
Lineage: Bacteria; Pseudomonadati; Acidobacteriota; Holophagae; Holophagales
Also listed under: 1 other name
Description: tRNA-Ser
Rfam family: tRNA
About the family: Transfer RNA (tRNA) molecules are approximately 80 nucleotides in length. Their secondary structure includes four short double-helical elements and three loops (D, anti-codon, and T loops).
Source: RNAcentral